Molecule: ribosomal RNA, 504 nt
Filed under: Hastula matheroniana
Lineage: Eukaryota; Metazoa; Mollusca; Gastropoda; Neogastropoda; Terebridae
Description: partial 16S ribosomal RNA
Rfam family: Bacterial large subunit ribosomal RNA
Source: RNAcentral
AGUCGGANCUGCCCGGUGAGGUUUAUCCUUUAACGGCCGCGGUACUCUGACCGUGCAAAGGUAGCAUAAUCAUUUGCCUUAUAAUUGAAGGCUAGUAUGAAUGGUUUGACAAGAAUAUAGCUGUCUCUCUGCUGAUUUGAUAGAAUUUUAUUUUUAGGUGAAAAAGCCUAGAUGUGAUUAAAAGACAAGAAGACCCUAUCGAGCUUUAGAGAAUUCAAUGGAUGAUUUAAUAAGAAACCUGUAAGUUAUAUUAUAAGGUGGUGCCGUUGAGUACUUUGGUUGGGGCGACUGAGGAACAAAAAAAGCUUCCUUCAAAUAGAUUUUAUACAUACAGGUACUGAUCCAAAUUUAUUGAUUAAGGAAAUUAGUUACCGUAGGGAUAACAGCAUUAUCUUUCUUGAGAGUUCAUAUCGAAAGGAGGGUUUGUGACCUCGAUGUUGGACCAAAAUGUCCUAAAGAUGCAGAAGUCUUUAAGGGUUGGUCUGUUCGACCAUUAAAAUUCUA